ACUCCUGCGGGAGGCAGCAGUGGGGAAUAUUGCACAAUGGGCGCAAGCCUGAUGCAGCCAUGCCGCGUGUAUGAAGAAGGCCUUCGGGUUGUAAAGUACUUUCAGCGGGGAGGAAGGCGAUAAGGUUAAUAACCUUGUCGAUUGACGUUACCCGCAGAAGAAGCACCGGCUAACUCCGUGCCAGCAGCCGCGGUAAUACGGAGGGUGCAAGCGUUAAUCGGAAUUACUGGGCGUAAAGCGCACGCAGGCGGUCUGUCAAGUCGGAUGUGAAAUCCCCGGGCUCAACCUGGGAACUGCAUUCGAAACUGGCAGGCUAGAGUCUUGUAGAGGGGGGUAGAAUUCCAGGUGUAGCGGUGAAAUGCGUAGAGAUCUGGAGGAAGACCGGUGGCGAAGGCGGCCCCCUGGACAAAGACUGACGCUCAGGUGCGAAAGCGUGGGGAGCAAACAGGAUUAGAAACCCUAGUAGUCCCAUGA
Molecule: ribosomal RNA, 474 nt
Filed under: uncultured organism
Description: partial 16S ribosomal RNA
Rfam family: Bacterial small subunit ribosomal RNA
Source: RNAcentral